AUUGAACGCUGGCGGCAGGCCUAACACAUGCAAGUCGAGCGCGAAAGUUCUUCGGAAUGAGUAAAGCGGCGGACGGGUGAGUAAUACAUGGUAAUCUGCCUGGUAGUGGGGGACAACGUUUCGAAAGGAACGCUAAUACCGCAUACGCCCUACGGGGGAAAGGGGGGAUCUUCAGACCUCUCGCUAUCAGAUGAGCCCAU
Molecule: ribosomal RNA, 200 nt
Filed under: uncultured bacterium
Lineage: Bacteria
Description: partial 16S ribosomal RNA
Rfam family: Bacterial small subunit ribosomal RNA
Source: RNAcentral